This 253-nucleotide ribosomal RNA is filed under the name uncultured bacterium. Its description in RNAcentral is "partial 16S ribosomal RNA". It matches the Rfam family "Bacterial small subunit ribosomal RNA", at positions 524 to 776 of the family's 1533-position model. The record is from RNAcentral.
GUCGUAGGUGGCGAGCGUUGUUCGGAAUCACUGGGCAUAAAGCGCACGUAGGCGGUCUGUCGCGUCGGCUGUGAAAGUCCAGGGCUCAACCCUGGGAUGCGGAUGGAUACUGCCGGGCUCGAGUCCGGAAGAGGCGAGUGGAAUUCCCGGUGUAGCGGUGAAAUGCGCAGAUAUCGGGAGGAACACCAAUGGCGAAGGCAGCUCGCUGGGACGUGACUGACGCUGAGACGCGAAAGCGUGGGGAGCAAACAGG